Molecule: ribosomal RNA, 427 nt
Filed under: Didymium squamulosum
Lineage: Eukaryota; Evosea; Eumycetozoa; Physariida; Didymiaceae
Description: SSU rRNA
Rfam family: Bacterial small subunit ribosomal RNA
Source: RNAcentral
CGUAGGCGGAUAGUCAAAAAUAUAGUAAAAGACUGAGGUUGACCCUCUUCAAGCUAUAUUCACUAGCUAUCUUGAGUUUUAGGGACGAUUGUGAAUCCUUUAAGUAAGGGUUAAAUUGUUGAUAUUAGGAGACAUUCGAAGGCGAAAGCAAUGAUCGACUUAAAUCUGACGCUAGGUACUAAAGCAUGGGUAUGAAAAGGAUUAGAGACCUUGUAGUCCAUGCUGUAAACUAUGAGUGUUCAACGUCCUAUUGUGGUCUGCUUGUUAAUAAAAAAUAAACUUCUGUUUACGGCUAUUAAUGAAAUAUUGCCCCGAGGGUGAUAGGCAGAAGACAUGAAAGGGGGUUUGAAGCUAACGCGUGAAACACCGCCUGGGGAAUGUGGCCGCAAGGUUAAACUCAAAGGAAUUGACGGAGACUUAUACAAGG